RNAcentral lists this ribosomal RNA (369 nucleotides) under uncultured bacterium. RNAcentral describes it as "bacterial SSU rRNA". It matches the Rfam family "Bacterial small subunit ribosomal RNA", at positions 29 to 399 of the family's 1533-position model. The record is from RNAcentral.
AUUGAACGCUGGCGGCAUGCUUUACACAUGCAAGUCGAGCGGCAGCGCGGGGGCAACCCUGGCGGCGAGCGGCGGACGGGUGAGUAAUGCAUCGGAACGUAUCCCGUAGUGGGGGACAACCCAGCGAAAGCUGGGCUAAUACCGCAUAUGCUCUACGGAGGAAAGUGGGGGACCUGAGAGGGCCUCACGCUAUGGGAGCGGCCGAUGUCCGAUUAGCUAGNGGUGAGGUAAAGGCUUACCAAGGCGACGAUCGGUAGCUGGUCUGAGAGGAUGAUCAGCCACACUGGGACUGAGACACGGCCCAGACUCCUACGGGAGGCAGCAGUGGGGAAUUUUGGACAAUGGGGCAACCCUGAUCCAGCCAUGCCG